RNAcentral lists this ribosomal RNA (253 nucleotides) under uncultured bacterium. RNAcentral describes it as "partial 16S ribosomal RNA". It matches the Rfam family "Bacterial small subunit ribosomal RNA", at positions 524 to 776 of the family's 1533-position model. The record is from RNAcentral.
UACGUAGGGGGCAAGCGUUGUCCGGAAUCAUUGGGCGUAAAGAGCGUGUAGGCGGCCCGAUAAGUCCGCUGUGAAAGUCCAGGGCUCAACCCUGGGAUGCCGGUGGAUACUGUCGGGCUCGAGUCCGGAAGAGGAGUGUGGAAUUCCUGGUGUAGCGGUGGAAUGCGCAGAUAUCAGGAGGAACACCAAUGGCGAAGGCAGCACUCUGGGACGUGACUGACGCUGAGACGCGAAAGCGUGGGGAGCAAACAGG